GUCAGGUGUGGUAGUGCAUGCCUGUAAUCUCAGUGACUUGGGAGGCUGAGGCAGGAGGAUCUCAAGUUCCAGGCCAGCCUCAGCAACUUAGUGAGACCUGUCUCAA
Molecule: small RNA, 106 nt
Filed under: Marmota monax (woodchuck)
Lineage: Eukaryota; Metazoa; Chordata; Mammalia; Rodentia; Sciuridae
Source: RNAcentral